This 257-nucleotide unclassified non-coding RNA is filed under the name Hypocenomyce sp. RNAcentral describes it as "partial contains 5.8S ribosomal RNA, internal transcribed spacer 2, and large subunit ribosomal RNA". The stretch from base 1 to 52 matches the Rfam family "5.8S ribosomal RNA", at positions 103 to 154 of the family's 154-position model. Lineage: Eukaryota; Fungi; Ascomycota; Lecanoromycetes; Umbilicariales; Ophioparmaceae. The record is from RNAcentral.
AACGCACAUUGCGCCCUCUGGUAUUCCGGGGGGCAUGCCUGUUCGAGCGUCAUUUACACCCCUCAAGCUAAGCUUGGUACUGGGGGCUGCUUCCCCCGUUGGAGGCACCCCCGAAAUGCAGCGGCGGUGCGGCCGGACUUCCUAGCGCAGUGACUUUCAAUCUCGCUACAAGGAGUCCGUGCCUGCCCCGGCCGGAUAACAACCAAUUUUUUUUUACGAUUGACCUCGGAUCAGGUAGGGAUACCCGCUGAACUUAA